AUGUACAUGCCUACAAUGUUAAUGCACCAGAUCCCAUUAGAACUCCAUAGUUAAGCAUGCUUGGUAUAGAGUAGUAUUGGGAUAGGUAACCUCUCAGGAAGUCCCAAUGUUUUACAUC
Non-coding RNA from Picea glauca (white spruce), 118 nucleotides. Lineage: Eukaryota; Viridiplantae; Streptophyta; Pinopsida; Pinales; Pinaceae. The record is from Rfam.